Molecule: long non-coding RNA, 253 nt
Filed under: Phoenix dactylifera (date palm)
Lineage: Eukaryota; Viridiplantae; Streptophyta; Magnoliopsida; Arecales; Arecaceae
Description: long non-coding RNA (PDAC_LNC013538)
Source: RNAcentral
ACUGAGGCAGCACACAGUUGGAGAGGAAGCUUUGGGAUUCACUUGGAUGUUCUUCUUCUCUCUCUUUUACUUUGAAUGGCCCUUUUGUGCUUUUGGGAGAUUUUUCUUGUAAUCUCUUUGAAAUCUCUUUCCUAAAUGUUCUCUCCCACUUCCAUCCCUUCUUCCCUAGCUCUCCUCUUGAUUUUAUAGCUUUAGAGGGAGUGGAAACAAAAAUCUAGUCGUUAGAGACAAAAAUAGAGCCGUUGGAAUCAAG